This is a long non-coding RNA of Cimex lectularius (bed bug), 1415 nucleotides long. RefSeq lists it as uncharacterized. The record is from RefSeq and is a predicted model, not a curated record. NCBI's taxonomy places the organism in Eukaryota, Metazoa, Arthropoda, Insecta, Hemiptera, Cimicidae. The transcript is spliced from 3 exons.
GUAUCUCUUACCAUUCCUUAAACCCUCUUGAAAACCGCUUUUCAAGUUUAGAAUUACAAAAGCCAGCUAGACCGCACAUCUAAAUGGUUCAUCAACCCCUGUACUCAAAUGAUAUCCCGCAAUAACAGAGGAUAAGCAGGGUGAAUCUCAAAAUUAAAAUAAAAUGUUUAUCCACAUUCGGUAAUAUAGGUUUUUACUGGAAACAAUAUUAGAAACCAACCACUGUUGCUUGACCUUAGAAGGUGUAGCACAAACCCAUCACUGAUGAUGCGUUAAUCAGCUAGCCCAAAAAAACGAAAACUGAAUAUAUCGAGGGGGUCGCCGAAACGAGUCUGCCAAACCUGCAGCGAGAGUAGGCGGAUGAUUGUAAACAAAUUUCAGGUUGCUUACUUAGAACCAGCAAGAAAUCACACAAUAACAGCGGUAUAAACCAGUAUAAAAUAUUAUCCACAUUCUGGGACAACAGUUGUUUACUGAAAACUCUAUUGGGAAAUAAUGAGUUAUUGCUUCACCCUACUUAAAGCCUUGGCCGAUAAAACCGAACAAGGAAAAUGGCGAAAAUCCUAUUUUACUGGAAACUACAGGCACGUUUCGGCUUCUGGUCAUAUGUUGUACCUCAUCCUACAUUCUUACUUACAACCCUGACCAAAACAGCGACCAAUGAAGAUGAAAAGAAAUUGAGAGGCGUCUGACAGAUUAACUCAGCGAGGAUAAACAAACCGGGAUGAUCAGAAACUAAUUAUAUAUCCUUAGCCACAAGUCAGAGUCAACAAAAAUCUAGCAUUCAGUCCUUCCAAUCGAAAGCCGUUAGACAAAUUGUCGAAGCACUAACCUCACUAUCCACAAAGACAUCAGCAUUCCUUUUGUCAACGAACUGAUCCGAUCCAGAUGCCAAACCUUCAACACCAACCUUUCGAACCAUCCUAACCAUUGCUCGAGCUCUCUCCCCUCAUUCCCAUUUGGACAAUCCGCCACGUUGCUUCAACCUCCUCCAAACCUAAUCGUACACAUUGAGCAAUAGCUGGCUCCUCAAAGCAUGUGUUCUUCAGGUGCAGUGCUGGCAUUAGUGCUAGUGUUGUGUUAUGUAAUACAUUAACAUGUACACGUUUGGAUCGUAUACGAUUAUGGAUAGCUUAGUCAGGGAAGAUAGGAGGACUUGGAUGAUCGGAAACAAUUUACUAGUUACUCAACCCCAGACACAAAAAAUUCACAAUAACAGAUGGAUAUGAAAAGGGCGAGGUGCAAACCCACCACUGAAGAUGGCUUUAAUCAGAGGACAGAGGCCCUUCACCGUGCUUAACCCUGACCGAGAACCGAGCACUGAAGAUGGCGAGAAGCCGAAACGGGUCUGCCAGAACUAACCAGCGCGGUUUAGCAGACCAACACCACAUGUACAUCAAUCGGAGACCCCCACA